Jatropha curcas is the source of this 1000-nucleotide long non-coding RNA. RefSeq lists it as uncharacterized. The record is from RefSeq and is a predicted model, not a curated record. NCBI's taxonomy places the organism in Eukaryota, Viridiplantae, Streptophyta, Magnoliopsida, Malpighiales, Euphorbiaceae.
CUGCAAGAUUUGACCAAGCUUGCGUAAUUCGUACACAUGUGCCCUAACUAUUAGUUGUCAAAGUUGAUUUUGAAAAGUUGUACACCUUUCCAGUUCUAGUCAUCAAUUAAAGUUUCACUUUUAAUUUAUGUGACUUUUGAAGCUUUCAAAGCGUGUUGAGCGACACACCCUUCAUUUAAUUUUACACUCAUUAAGGCAUGUCUUCUCGCUUUCUUGAAACUCAUUAAGGUGUCUCUCAACUUUUCCUCUUCAAGCUAUAAGCUCAAAUUUUCAGGCAUCUUUCAAAGUUUCGAGGCUACAAGAUCUGGUGGCUUUCCUUCCAGUCGCCGCUUGGCCGCCGUGGAAGCUGCUAGCUAAGCUUCUCAGGCGGCUCCUGGAAGAAUCAGCAUCUGGUAAUCACCAAGGAAAAAUUUUGUUCCUCAAAGAGAGAAUAAGCUUGCUCUGUUAGGUUCUAUUUUAGAGGAAGGGGAUAUGGGAAGAUUAAAGUAAAAGCAUCCUAUUCCAGAUGAAUUUGAGCUUUUCACUGUGGGUAGCAGUAGAGCUAGGACUUUUUAGUUUUAUAUAAAGAAGACUUGAGAUUUAGCAUUCGCCUUCCUCUUCAAGGGGACCUAUAUGAGUAUCUCAAUCACCUAGGCAUCACCAUGUCUCAACUCGCCCCAAAUAGUAUCAGGAUAGUUUUAGGUUAUAGCAUUUUAACUUGCCAGGCCAACCUUGAAUUCUCUCCUUAUGUCGUUAGCGCUCUAUAUGCAUUAAGCUCUCUAAAAGGGAGAUGGAAAUAGAAUUUAUUUUAUUGUUAAGAAUUCAAAGGGAUUUGGUGUGGGGUUAAGUGGUCCAUUGAUGCUCGAUUCUUUCAUGAAGAAAGGUUGUUGACUGACAAUGAGAAAGAAAGUAUUGAUUUUUUUUGGCAAAAUAUGCCGAUAAACUUGUUCACCUUCAAGGUCUUCGACAUCAACAAUGCAAAAGGCACACAAAUGCAAAAAAAAAAAAAAAAAAAAAAAAA